RNAcentral lists this ribosomal RNA (262 nucleotides) under uncultured Staphylococcus sp. Its description in RNAcentral is "partial 16S ribosomal RNA". It matches the Rfam family "Bacterial small subunit ribosomal RNA", at positions 524 to 785 of the family's 1533-position model. The record is from RNAcentral. Lineage: Bacteria; Bacillati; Bacillota; Bacilli; Caryophanales; Staphylococcaceae.
UACGUAGGUGGCAAGCGUUAUCCGGAAUUAUUGGGCGUAAAGCGCGCGUAGGCGGUUUUUUAAGUCUGAUGUGAGAGCCCACGGCUCAACCGUGGAGGGUCAUUGGAAACUGGAAAACUUGAGUGCAGAAGAGGAAAGUGGAAUUCCAUGUGUAGCGGUGAAAUGCGCAGAGAUAUGGAGGAACACCAGUGGCGAAGGCGACUUUCUGGUCUGUAACUGACGCUGAUGUGCGAAAGCGUGGGGAUCAAACAGGAUUAGAUAC